Molecule: ribosomal RNA, 465 nt
Filed under: uncultured bacterium
Lineage: Bacteria
Description: partial 16S ribosomal RNA
Rfam family: Bacterial small subunit ribosomal RNA
Source: RNAcentral
CCUACGGGGGGCAGCAGUGGGGAAUAUUGCGCAAUGGGCGAAAGCCUGACGCAGCGACGCCGCGUGAGGGAUGAAGGUCUUCGGAUCGUAAACCUCUGUCAGCAGGGAAGAACGGUCACUGUGCUAAUCAGCAGUGAAUUGACGGUACCUGCAAAGGAAGCACCGGCUAACUACGUGCCAGCAGCCGCGGUAAUACGGAGGGUGCGGGCGUUAAUCGGAAUUACUGGGCGUAAAGCGCUCGUAGGCGGUCUGUGAAGUCAAGGGUGAAAGCCCCGCGCUCAACGUGGGAACUGCAUUUGAAACUGGAGAACUAGAGUGUGUGAGAGGAUAGUGGAAUUCCAGGGGUAGGAGUGAAAUCCGGAGAUAUCUGGAGGAACAUCAGUGGCGAAGGCGACUAUCUGGAACAUAACUGACGCUGAGGAGCGAAAGCGUGGGUAGCAAACAGGAUUAGAUACCCUAGUAGUC